UAAAGCCUGAGGUGAAGACCAGAAUAUCACCGGUUGCUUGUUCUACUGCUUCUUCUUCGCUGAGACCCACUACAGCUAG
This 79-nucleotide small RNA is filed under the name Arabidopsis thaliana (thale cress). Its description in RNAcentral is "ATSL147050". Lineage: Eukaryota; Viridiplantae; Streptophyta; Magnoliopsida; Brassicales; Brassicaceae. The record is from RNAcentral.